UGUCAUACUGGGUGCAAUAUAGAUGGGUUUCCACACCUAUCCGCGGGCUAUCAUCGGCCUAAAUAGGUUGCACAAGAUCGAAGAAGCAAAACUAGUCCAUGGGAAGAAAAGCAUUGGGACGAAAAUAAAAACUGAGUCUGGGCAUCUCCGAGCGGUUCUUGUGGGAGAAAACUUGAUAUACUCAGAGUGAGGCCUCCUAGUAGUUAUCUGUGAAUUUUCGGGACGUUUCUCACAUGGUUAAAAAUCGGCCGAUUUUCGGUAUGGUAAAGCCUUGGCCAUUUUUGGACCGUUUUUUGGCGCAACCUUGUGCACCCCGAACGAGCCCCACCCGACCCCUAGGCCUGGGCUUUUUUUAUGUGUCAUACUGGUGCAAUAUAGAUGGGUUUCCACACCUAUCCGCGGGCUAUCAUCGGCCUAAAUAGGUUGCACAAGAUCGAAGAAGCACAACUAGUCCAUGGGAAGAAAAGCAUUGGGACGAAAAUAAAAACUGAGUCCGGGCAUUUUCGAGCGGUUCGUGUGGGAAAAAACCUUGAUAUUACUCAGAGUGAGGCCUCCUAGUAGUUAUAUGUGAAUUUUCGGGACGGUUCUCACAUGGUUAAAAAUCGGCCGAUUUUCGGUAUGGUAAAGCCUUGGCCAUUUUUGGACCGUUUUUUGCGCAACCGUUGUGCACCCCGAACGAGCCCCACCCGACCCCUAGGCCCUGGGCUUUUUUAUGUGUCAUAAUGGGUGCAAUAUAGAUGGGUUUCCACACCUAUCCGCGGGCUAUCAUCGGCCUAAAUAGGUUGCACAAGAUCAAAGAAACAAAACUAGUCCAUGGGAAGAAAAGCAUUGGGACGAAAAUAAAAACUGAGUCUGGGCAUCUCCGAGCGGUUCUUGUGGGAGAAAACUUUAAUAUUACUCAGAGUGAGGCCUCCUAGUAGUUAUCUGUGAAUUUUCGGGACGUUUCUCACAUGGUUAAAAAUCGGCCGAUUUUCGGUAUGGUAAAGCCUUGGCCAUUUUUGACCGUUUUU
RNAcentral lists this long non-coding RNA (1010 nucleotides) under Cucumis sativus (cucumber). RNAcentral's name for it is "long non-coding RNA (CSAT_LNC001744)". The record is from RNAcentral. Lineage: Eukaryota; Viridiplantae; Streptophyta; Magnoliopsida; Cucurbitales; Cucurbitaceae.